Long non-coding RNA from Hyposmocoma kahamanoa, 605 nucleotides. RefSeq lists it as uncharacterized. NCBI's taxonomy places the organism in Eukaryota, Metazoa, Arthropoda, Insecta, Lepidoptera, Cosmopterigidae. The transcript has 5 exons. The record is from RefSeq and is a predicted model, not a curated record.
GUUGUAAAGUCCGAGUCCCAGACAAGUCAAGUAGUAGCUGCGCCGGGCACUCGAGGAAAAGGAGAUUAGACACCUGCUGUUCGUUUCAAUCUUUUGAUGGUUCUUCUCAAAGAUCACUAACACCAAAAGCGAGUGUUGGACAUCAUCAUCCUAAAGCUGAACCAAGGGUAGUAGCCAUUGUGGUCCCGCGAGAAAGACGUGGAAAAGUCCUGGCGUGCGACGAAACCGAACCUGAACCAGUUAGUUCUUGGAGCUAUUGGUGGCUGCUCGCCGCGGCGGUUAUUCUCUUAGGCGGCGCAUUCGCAGCGAAAAAGAAGAUGUCGGCAUAGACAAUAUAAUAAUAAUAAGGCAAUGGUUAUGCUAAGUCAGGAAAUAUUUGUAUUGGUUACCCUACUUCAUCAUAAUUUAGAUUGCAUCUCGUGUGUUAAUACACGUCUGAUCUUUCAGAUCAAAAAUGCAUUAUGAAGAGAGAACUCUCCAUAAUAAAUUUUUGAUAUUCGCUAUGAGAACGGUCAGUAAUACGACUGGCGCUACCUAGGCUUUGAAACUAGUAGACAUGUACAGUUCGACUGCGCAAUAAAGAUAAAUACAAACACUUUUUACGA